UAGGGCGUUCAGUCGCAUGCCGUAGACCCGAAGCCGAGUGAGCUAUCCAUGGGCAGUGUGAAGCGGAGGUAAGACUCUGUGGAGGCGCGAACCGACUUCAGUUGAAAAUGGAGCGGAUGACCUGUGGAUAGGGGUGAAAGGCCAAUCAAACUCGGUGAUAGCUGGUUCUCCGCGAAAUGCAUUUAGGUGCAGCGUCGUGCGUUCAACGAUGGGGGUAGAGCACUGAAUGGGCUAGGGGUCCUACAAGACUACCGACCCCAAUCAAACUCCGAAUACCAUCGUUCCAGAGCACGGCAGUGAGACCUCGGGGGAUGAGCUUCGAGGUCGAGAGGGAAACAGCCCAGACCGCCGGCUAAGGUCCCAAAAUCUGAACUAAGUGGUAAACGAUGUGAGAUUGCGAAGACAGCCAGGAGGUUGGCUUGGAAGCAGCCAUCCUUGAAAGAGUGCGUAACAGCUCACUGGUCGAGUGAUCUUGCGCGGACAAUGUAACGGGGCUCAAGUUCAGUACCGAAGCCGCGGAUGCGACUCUUUGAGUCGUGUGGUAGCGGAGCGUCGAGCGUGCAGCGAAGCGGCGGGACAACCCAGCCGUGGAGCGCGUUCGAGUGCGAAUGUUGGCAUGAGUAGCGAAUGAGGGGUGAGAACCCCCUCCGCCGUAUGUCCAAGGGUUCCUGGGCGAGGCCAAUCCUCCCAGGGUGAGUCGGGAGCUAAGGCGAGGCCGAGAGGCGUAGUCGAUGCACAACUGGUUGAUAUUCCAGUACCACCAUGUUCGCGUCCGUCCCAAUACUCUGUUGCUAAGGGGCUGUGUUGACUUCGGUCAACGCGAACCGACCCACAUUGUUGCGGGAAGCUGUAGGGGGACGCAGGAAGGUAGAUGAACCCGGUGAAUGGUAGAACCGGGGUAAGCGUGUAGGAGGAGGACCAGGUAAAUCCGGGCCUCAUAAACUCUGAGACGUGAUACCGAGCCGCUUCAGGCGAAGUCAUUGAUCCUAUGCUGCCUAGAAAAGCCCAGCAGCGAGUUGACAUGGUGCCCGUACCCUAAACCAACACAGGUGGACAGGUAGAGCAUACCAAGGCGAGUGGGAUAACUAUGGUUAAGGAACUCGGCAAAUUGCCUCCGUAACUCCGGGAGAAGGAGGACCCCAGUAGCGUGAUGAGACUUGCUCUCUGAGCGUGAAGGGGUGGCACAAAAUUGAGGGAAGCGACUGUUUACCAAAAACACAGCAGCGUGCUAAGCCGUAAGGCGCUGUAUACGCUGUGACUCCUGCCCGGUGCUGGAAGGUUACGGGGAUGGGUUAGUCCUUCGGGACGAAGCUCUGAACCUAAGCCCCAGUAAACGGCGGCCGUAACUAUAACGGUCCUAAGGUAGCGAAAUUCCUUGUCGGGUAAGCUCCGACCUGCACGAAUGGAGUAACGACUUCCCUACUGUCUCAACCAUAGACCCAGCGAAAUUGAAGUACGAGUAAAGAUGCUCGUUAGCUGCAGAAGGACGGAAAGACCCCGUGGACCUUUACUAUAACUUGAUGUUGUGUUUUGU
Molecule: ribosomal RNA, 1534 nt
Filed under: metagenome
Description: bacterial LSU rRNA
Rfam family: Bacterial large subunit ribosomal RNA
Source: RNAcentral